CUUUCUUCGUGGAGAUCGAGAGAAAAUAAAACCUAAAAAAAAAUCAUCUUCCUUCUUCUCCUUUAUUCACCCAAAAAAAAAUCUUUCUCCAUCGCGAUGGUUCAUUCUUCGCGUCUCUUUUCUUCUCCGUCGUUUCUUCUUCUCGAUUGUCUCUGUUUUUUUUAAUUACUAUUGAUUUAUUUUUGUUUUUCUGUCGCAGGUGAUAUACUUUGAUGGGAAUCUGUAAAAGGGGUCUAAUUAGGUACGAAAAAAUUAUGGUAGCAUAGAAGGGAAACUCACAACAUAAACACAGAUAUAAGACAAUUGCGUCAUUGGGGCUAUGGAGGAGAAAGGCAAUUACGUAACCAUUUCCGGUGGUGGUCGGCAUAAUGCCACAAUAAAAGCUUGAACUUUAUAAAAGAUGAUCCAUGAUUGGGAGGGAUUUUCGAUCUCUGGCACUCACAAUUUGUUCCAGCACAAAAAUUGUAACUAGCAUUCCUUCCCAGUCUUCAUGGUUAACGCAAGCCAACAGUGGUUCAGAUGGACGAUAUGUCGAGGGGUAGAUCCAGAUGACAAAUCACAUGUUGAGGGAACCGAAACUCACACGGUGGUUCCUAAAAAGCACUAUUUGGAAGUUCAAAUCACUGCUCUGCGGGGUUAGAGAUUCUGCGGAUUACCUGUGUAAAGUUGAUGCAAUCAAGUGUGAUUUUGGGGUUAAUGGAUUUAACUCUUACAGCAACACAUACUUUAAUGCUUGAUCCAGGGUAUAACCUUCUCUCUUACAACAAUCAAGAUGUAUUCAUUUUGUUCAUGUGCUUAUUAUCCGAAUCCCAUGUCUCUUCUCCUCAGACUGUACAGAGAUGAAGGUGAACUGUCAACUGGAGAGUUACAAAUGAUAGGCAUAUCCCUGCAACAUACAAUGAACCAAUGCAUAAGUUCCCUCCAUGUAGAGUGCACGGUGUUGUUAAGGCAAGUAAAUGGGAUGCCUCAUGAGGGACAUCAGAUUGUGGUACACAGGUAGGUGAUCGAAUAAGAAAAUGUAUAUUAUAUGGAAACACAUGUCCAGCAGGGACAAUGAGUUUAUUUCGACAAGAAUAUGGUAUUUGCCUUCCUCGAGCUGCAAGUAUUAAGUUUACUCUUCUCUGAGAAAUUUGAUAGAACUAACUUCACAUUGAAGCUUUAGAUAGUUGACUUUUCUAAUAUUUCGCUAAAAUAUUUGCAUCUUAUGUUAUAUGAUUUGAGAUGGGUAAUCCCUGGAAAGCAUGCUAAAUGAGCCUGUUCUGUGAUUACUUUCUGACUUUCUGUGUUUCAGUAAUUUGUAUUACAUGAAAUGUUGUGAUGUAUAUACAGUCUUAGCAUAUUCGAGGCACAAUAACUUCAAAAGUGAUUUUGAGGAAAAAGGAUGGAUGGAGAGAGUUGGUAUCUGCUAAAAUUCUCUUCUUAAUUAAAAUUCUUAUAUAUACUUUUUUGAGGUAAUUUUGCAUUUCAUAAUUCAUAUGCUUUCCUCUUUUCCAUGUUCGCACGAUCUCAUUCAAGCAAUAACAAAUAAAGGCUUUAGUGUAGUGGUUAUUUGUCGCCCGGAUCCGUUGUGGUGCUAUUUAUUUUUUGUACCUUUAUUAGCUGCUGGGGUGGUUGAUGAUGGCGUCAAAUUAUGACAGGAACAAAAUGGAAUUUACUAUUGCAAUGGGAUUCAGGUAUUUCCCAUAUAACCAGGCAUUGGGUGGUCAUAGAUCAAGCUACAGUAGUGAUAAAAUCAAUCAGAAGAAAUAUAGAAGUUGUUGCAGGUGGAUUAAUAAAUAACAAGAGAAGCUGAAGAGUAAGAGGAUGAGGAUGAGAACCACAAUUUUUAAGAGCAGCAUCAAAGUGAACCUAUGAAAUUCAGAGAUCAGGUUAAGAAAGUAAGAUCCAUUAUAAUUCAAAAAUCUAAGUUGCGCAAACACAUCGAUUUAGCAUUUGCGGGAAGAAACUUCCAACAGGUCAAGCACCUGGAGGACAUGUAAGACACAUCACAAUGGAUUUAGCAUUAACAUUAGUGGUAGACAACACCCUUCGUCCUCCAUCAAGUAGCUCAUCACUACUAAUAGUUGUACAACUGCUAAUACAGGAGGUGGUCAUCAAGUGGUGCUUGAUUUCGAUCUAAAUGAACCGCCGGUGAUGGAAGAGUAAGAAAGUAAUAGAUCUAAUUGUGAACAGUGGGGUUAUAUAUUAAGUUUAAUUCAAAAAUGCAAUUACAUGUGUCGUUGUCCUGAUAACUUUAAUGUAUGUGUUGUCAUUUAUGCCAUUUUUAUGUUCGGAGCCACACAUAGCGUGGAUGUAAUAUUUGUAAUUUUUAUGUGAUACUUUGUUUAUACA
Papaver somniferum (opium poppy) is the source of this 2331-nucleotide long non-coding RNA. RefSeq lists it as uncharacterized. The transcript is spliced from 9 exons. The record is from RefSeq and is a predicted model, not a curated record. Lineage: Eukaryota; Viridiplantae; Streptophyta; Magnoliopsida; Ranunculales; Papaveraceae.